GACGGGGCCCGCACAAGCGGUGGAUUAUGUGGAUUAAUUCGAUGCAACGCGAAAACCUUACCUGGCCUUGACAUGUAGCGAACUUCCAGAGAUGGAUUGGUGCUCGAAAGAGAACGCUAACACAGGUGCUGCAUGGCUGUCGUCAGCUCGUGUCGUGAGAUGUUGGGUUAAGUCCCGCAACGAGCGCAACCCUUGCCAUUAAUUGCCAUCAUUUAGUUGGGCACUUUAAUGGGACUGCCGGUGACAAACCGGAGGAAGGUGGGGAUGACGUCAAGUCCUCAUGGCCCUUAUGGCCAGGGCUUCACACGUAAUACAAUGGUCGGUACAGAGGGUUGCCAAGCCGCGAGGUGGAGCCAAUCCCAGAAAGCCGAUCGUAGUCCGGAUUGUAGUCUGCAACUCGACUACAUGAAGUCGGAAUCGCUAGUAAUCGCGGAUCAGCAUGUCGCGGUGAAUACGUUCCCGGGCCUU
RNAcentral lists this ribosomal RNA (468 nucleotides) under uncultured Methylophilaceae bacterium. RNAcentral's name for it is "bacterial SSU rRNA". It matches the Rfam family "Bacterial small subunit ribosomal RNA", at positions 916 to 1381 of the family's 1533-position model. The record is from RNAcentral. Lineage: Bacteria; Pseudomonadati; Pseudomonadota; Betaproteobacteria; Nitrosomonadales; Methylophilaceae.